UGGGGAAUUUUCCGCAAUGGGCGCAAGCCUGACGGAGCAAUACCGCGUGAGGGAGGAAGGCUUUUGGGUUGUAAACCUCUUUUGUCAAGGAAGAAGUUCUGACGUUACUUGACGAAUAAGCAUCGGCUAACUCCGUGCCAGCAGCCGCGGUAAGACGGGGGAUGCAAGUGUUAUCCGGAAUCACUGGGCGUAAAGCGUUUGUAGGUGGUUUAGUAAGUCUAUUAUUAAAUCUUGAAGCUUAACUUCAAAACUGUAAUAGAAACUACUAGACUUGAGGAUAGUAGGGGUAAAGGGAAUUUCCAGUGGAGCGGUGAAAUGCGUAGAGAUUGGAAGGACCACCGAUGGCGAAGGCACUUUACUGGGCUAUUUCUGACACUAAGAGACGAAAGCUAGGGUAGCAAACGGGAUUAGAUACCCCCGUAGUCC
RNAcentral lists this ribosomal RNA (426 nucleotides) under uncultured prokaryote. RNAcentral's name for it is "bacterial SSU rRNA". It matches the Rfam family "Bacterial small subunit ribosomal RNA", at positions 355 to 796 of the family's 1533-position model. The record is from RNAcentral.